UUCCGGUUGAUCCUGCCGGAGGCGACCGCUUUGGGAGUUCGAUUAAGCCAUGCGAGUCGUGAGUCUUAGGGACUCGGCAUACUGCUCAGUAACACGUGGAUAACCUGCCCUAUCGUCUGGAAUAACCUCGGGAAACUGAGAAUAAGGCCGGAUAGUUCACAAUGCCUGGAACGGUUUGUGAAUCAAGGUAGGAUGGGUCUGCGGCGUAUCAGGUUGUAGGGGGUGUAAAGGACCCCCUAGCCUUCGACGCGUACGGGUGUUGAGAGACAUAGCCCGGAGAUGGAUUCUGAGACACGAAUCCAGACCCUACGGGGUGCAGCAGGCGCGAAAACUUGGCAAUGCGAGAAAUCGUGACCAGGGAACUCCAAGUGCAUCGGGUAAGACCGAUGCUUUUCUUGACUCUAAAUAGGUCUUGGAAUAAGGGGUGGGUAAGGACGGUGCCAGCCGCCGCGGUAAUACCGGCGCCUCAAGUGGUAGUCGCUUUUAUUGGGCCUAAAACGUCCGUAGCCGGUCUGAUACAUUCGUGGGUAAAUCAACCAGCUCAACUGGUUGAGUUCUGCGAGGACGGUCAGACUUGGGACCGGGAGAGGUGUGGGGUACGCUCAGGGUAGGGGUAAAAUCCUGUCAUCCUGAGCGGACCACUGUUGCGAAGGCGCCACACUAGAACGGAUCCGACGGUCAGGGACGAAGCCUAGGGGCACGAACCGGAUUAGAUACCCGGGUAGUCCUAGGUGUAAACGCUGUGGACUUGAUGUUGGGGGUGCUCCGAGCACUCUCAGUGUCGAAGCGAAGGUGAUAAGUCCACUGCCUGGGAAGUACGGUCGCAAGGCUGAAACUUAAAGGAAUUGGCGGGGGAGCACCGCAACCUGAGGAUUGUGCGGUUUAAUUGGAUUCAACGCCGGA
Molecule: ribosomal RNA, 903 nt
Filed under: uncultured archaeon
Lineage: Archaea
Description: bacterial SSU rRNA
Rfam family: Archaeal small subunit ribosomal RNA
Source: RNAcentral